This 810-nucleotide long non-coding RNA is filed under the name Olea europaea subsp. europaea. The record is from RNAcentral. Lineage: Eukaryota; Viridiplantae; Streptophyta; Magnoliopsida; Lamiales; Oleaceae.
CAAUAGAGCCAAACAUUUAGGAUAUAUUUGGUGCACAGGUUAGACAAGAUACAUAUUUUUCAAGGUAACAAUUCCUGAUUCCACACAUUACUAUGAUGAUUAUAAAAAUUUAUCCAAUUCAUUUAUGUUGAGCAUGAAGUGGUCAUUAUCAGCACCAUUCACGAGUUUGUUAAUAAGUAGUCAUAUAAAGAAUGGUUCAAACCAUCAUAUGACCUAAGUAAUUUAGCCUUUGUCACUGACUAAGCGGUGGUGAAUAACAAGCUUCUAUGUGUUCACAUAUAUUCCCAUUGUGCUCAAACCAUCAUAUGACCUACUGUUGUUUCGCAUUGUAGGUGGAGAAAAAAUAUGUCCAGCAAAUCUUAAUUUUGGUUUCAAAUUUUCAGUUAUAAGGAAUGGUUUUUCACUUCCAUGUUUGUGUUGAAUUGUUUGUUGAACCUUUGAGCAUUGAAUCCCGUCAACUAAUUGAAGAGUGAUAUUGAAAAGUGACAGCAAAGCAAGUCAACAAUGAACUUCCAGUAACUUAAAAUUUUGGACUCGGCUUUUCUUUUUCUUUUUGCUUUUUAUGCUGGGGGUUCACUAAUUCUGUUAGAUGUAACCGGUUCAUUGUUUUUGGUGUGCCAUAAAGUAACUUACAGAAUUGCUUAUUAAGAGGAAAGAAAUUUUUCUAGCUUAAUUACUGCUAAACAUUAAGUUAUGAUAGUUUAUACUAUCAUUUUCCCUGUUACGUUCACAUUUGUAUCUUGUGAAUUGGUUGAAAUGUUGAGGAGCAGCUGUCUAGGAGUUAAUGAAGAAGCAGUAGCCAGGUUUCUC